This 334-nucleotide ribosomal RNA is filed under the name uncultured bacterium. Its description in RNAcentral is "bacterial SSU rRNA". It matches the Rfam family "Bacterial small subunit ribosomal RNA", at positions 1 to 334 of the family's 1533-position model. The record is from RNAcentral.
AGUGUAGAUUCUAGAGUUUGAUCCUGGCUCAGGACGAACGCUGGCGGCGUGCUUCAUACAUGCAAGUCGAACGAGAAUUCACCUUCGGUGGAGGACAGUGGCGGACGGGUGAGUAAAAUGUAGAGAAUCUGCCCUAGAGAGGGGGACGAACAGAGGGAAACUUCUGCUAAUACCCCAUAUGCGCGUAGCUGAGAUGCUAUUCGUGAAAACUCCGGUGCUCUAGGAUGAGUCUGCAUCUGAUUAGCUAGUUGGGGGUGUAAUGGACCACCAAGGCGACGAUCAGUAGCUGGUUUGAGAGGAUGAUCAGCCACAAUGGGACUGAGACACGGCCCAU